UUGAUUUGAAAUUAUUGACCUUGAGUUGGGUUGAGAUUAAUUGUAUGUGUUGAAAAGGUUCAAGUUUGGGGUUGAAAAAGAAAAAUGCAUGAGGAAAAGAAAGAAAGAAAAGAAAAGAAAAAGCGUGAAAGAUGAGCUCAAUGUAAAAAUUAAAGGAAAGGGAAGAAGUUGGGAAUUAGUGAGAUUGGUGAAAAAGAGAGUUGUGCUUGAACUUUGAAUAUUAAUGUAGCUCUCUUAACUCAAGGAUUUUGUAUUCCAGUAAAAACCAAUUUUUCUUGUUAGCCCAGCUUCAUUACAAACCUUGGAAAAAUCCUUGUGAUGGCAUUUACAUGUGAAGAUUUUGAUUGUUUUAGAUGAAUGACAAUGUUGUUUUAUGU
Molecule: long non-coding RNA, 377 nt
Filed under: Vigna radiata
Lineage: Eukaryota; Viridiplantae; Streptophyta; Magnoliopsida; Fabales; Fabaceae
Description: long non-coding RNA (VRAD_LNC016798)
Source: RNAcentral